This 491-nucleotide ribosomal RNA is filed under the name uncultured bacterium. RNAcentral describes it as "partial 16S ribosomal RNA". It matches the Rfam family "Bacterial small subunit ribosomal RNA", at positions 29 to 506 of the family's 1533-position model. The record is from RNAcentral.
AGUGAACGCUGGCGGUAGGCCUAACACAUGCAAGUCGAACGGCAGCACAGUAAGAGCUUGCUCUUACGGGUGGCGAGUGGCGGACGGGCGAGGAAUACAUCGGAAUCUACUUUUUCGUGGGGGAUAACGUAGGGAAACUUACGCUAAUACCGCAUACGACCUACGGGUGAAAGCAUGGGAUCUUCGGACCUUGCGCGAUUGAAUGAGCCGAUGUCGGAUUAGCUAGUUGGCGGGGUAAAGGCCCACCAAGGCGACGAUCCGUAGCUGGUCUGAGAGGAUGAUCAGCCACACUGGAACUGAGACACGGUCCAGACUCCUACGGGAGGCAGCAGUGGGGAAUAUUGGACAAUGGGCGCAAGCCUGAUCCAGCCAUACCGCGUGGGUGAAGAAGGCCUUCGGGUUGUAAAGCCCUUUUGUUGGGAAAGAAAAGCAGCAGGUUAAUACCCCGCUGUUCUGACGGUACCCAAAGAAUAAGCACCGGCGAACUUCGU